GACGAACGCUGGCGGCAUGCCUAACACAUGCAAGUCGAACGUAGCCUUCGGGCUUAGUGGCGCACGGGUGCGUAACGCGUGGGAAUCUGCCCUUGGGUUCGGAAUAACAGUUAGAAAUGACUGCUAAUACCGGAUGAUGUCUUCGGACCAAAGAUUUAUCGCCCAAGGAUGAGCCCGCGUAGGAUUAGGUAGUUGGUGGGGUAAUGGCCCACCAAGCCGACGAUCCUUAGCUGGUCUGAGAGGAUGAUCAGCCACACUGGGACUGAGACACGGCCCAGACUCCUACGGGAGGCAGCAGUGGGGAAUAUUGGACAAUGGGCGAAAGCCUGAUCCAGCAAUGCCGCGUGAGUGAUGAAGGCCUUAGGGUUGUAAAGCUCUUUUACCAGGGAUGAUAAUGACAGUACCUGGAGAAUAAGCUCCGGCUAACUCCGUGCCAGCCGCCGCAGUAA
Molecule: ribosomal RNA, 449 nt
Filed under: uncultured bacterium
Lineage: Bacteria
Description: partial 16S ribosomal RNA
Rfam family: Bacterial small subunit ribosomal RNA
Source: RNAcentral